This 253-nucleotide ribosomal RNA is filed under the name uncultured bacterium. RNAcentral's name for it is "partial 16S ribosomal RNA". It matches the Rfam family "Bacterial small subunit ribosomal RNA", at positions 524 to 776 of the family's 1533-position model. The record is from RNAcentral.
UACGUAGGGUGCGAGCGUUAAUAGGAAUUACUGGGCGUAAAGUGUGCGCAGGCGGCCGCGCAAGUCGAGUGUGAAAGCCCCGGGCUUAACUUGGGAAUUGCGCUCGAAACUACGUGGCUAGAGUGUGGCAGAGGGAGGUGGAAUUCCACGUGUAGCGGUGAAAUGCGUAGAGAUGUGGAGGAACACCGAUGGCGAAGGCAGCCUCCUGGGCCAACACUGACGCUCAUGCACGAAAGCGUGGGUAGCAAACAGG